GAUGAACGCUGGCGGCGUGCCUAAUACAUGCAAGUCGAGCGAACGGACGAGAAGCUUGCUUCUCUGAUGUUAGCGGCGGACGGGUGAGUAACACGUGGAUAACGUACCUAUAAGACUGGGAUAACUUCGGGAAACCGGAGCUAAUACCGGAUAAUAUUUUGAACCGCAUGGUUCAAAAGUGAAGGACGGUCUUGCUGUCACUUAUAGAUGGAUCCGCGCUGCAUUAGCUAGUUGGUAAGGUAACGGCUUACCAAGGCAACGAUGCAUAGCCGACCUGAGAGGGUGAUCGGCCACACUGGAACUGAGACACGGUCCAGACUCCUACGGGAGGCAGCAGUAGGGAAUCUUCCGCAAUGGGCGAAAGCCUGACGGAGCAACGCCGCGUGAGUGAUGAAGGUCUUCGGAUCGUAAAACUCUGUUAUUAGGGAAGAACAUAUGUGUAAGUAACUGUGCACAUCUUGACGGUACCUAAUCAGAAAGCCACGGCUAACUACGUG
This 497-nucleotide ribosomal RNA is filed under the name uncultured bacterium. RNAcentral's name for it is "partial 16S ribosomal RNA". It matches the Rfam family "Bacterial small subunit ribosomal RNA", at positions 28 to 507 of the family's 1533-position model. The record is from RNAcentral.